Molecule: ribosomal RNA, 303 nt
Filed under: Triticum aestivum (bread wheat)
Lineage: Eukaryota; Viridiplantae; Streptophyta; Magnoliopsida; Poales; Poaceae
Description: partial small subunit ribosomal RNA
Source: RNAcentral
AUGGAAUUAAGUUUGUCUCAUACGCUUCAUCUUUUUAAUAUCUUUCGUGAGUAUGAUGGAAAGGAAAAUUGUGCUCAAGUUCUAGAGGAAGAAGUCUAUAAAAUGUUUGGCACUAAAUCUUUGAAUGAUGAGCAUGAUUGCAAUGUUGUUAGUACGAAUUCUUUGAAUAUCCAUGCAAGCUUGGGGAUGCUAUGUUUAAUGAAGAUGAUACUUUUAGUCUCCCAAGUUUUGAUAUGCAAAUUUAUAAUGAUGGUAGCAUGCCUCCUACCUAUGAUGAUUAUUGUGAUGAUACUUAUGCUAUAA